This 557-nucleotide ribosomal RNA is filed under the name uncultured Sordariomycetidae. Its description in RNAcentral is "SSU rRNA". It matches the Rfam family "Eukaryotic small subunit ribosomal RNA", at positions 194 to 755 of the family's 1831-position model. The record is from RNAcentral. Lineage: Eukaryota; Fungi; Ascomycota; Sordariomycetes.
GGAAGGGGUGUAUUUAUUAGAUUAAAAACCAAUGCCCUUCGGGGCUCCUUGGUGAUUCAUGAUAACUCCUCGAAUCGCAUGGCCUUGUGCCGGCGAUGGUUCAUUCAAAUUUCUUCCCUAUCAACUUUCGAUGUUUGGGUAUUGGCCAAACAUGGUUGCAACGGGUAACGGAGGGUUAGGGCUCGACCCCGGAGAAGGAGCCUGAGAAACGGCUACUACAUCCAAGGAAGGCAGCAGGCGCGCAAAUUACCCAAUCCCGACACGGGGAGGUAGUGACAAUAAAUACUGAUACAGGGCUCUUUUGGGUCUUGUAAUUGGAAUGAGUACAAUUUAAAUCCCUUAACGAGGAACAAUUGGAGGGCAAGUCUGGUGCCAGCAGCCGCGGUAAUUCCAGCUCCAAUAGCGUAUAUUAAAGUUGUUGUGGUUAAAAAGCUCGUAGUUGAACCUUGGGCCUGGCUGGCCGGUCCGCCUCACCGCGUGUACUGAUCCGGCCGGGCCUUUCCCUCUGUGGAACCCCAUGCCCUUCACUGGGUGUGGCGGGGAACCAGGACUUUUAC